Molecule: long non-coding RNA, 2048 nt
Filed under: Mytilus galloprovincialis (Mediterranean mussel)
Lineage: Eukaryota; Metazoa; Mollusca; Bivalvia; Mytilida; Mytilidae
Source: RNAcentral
GUUUCCUGUAACGUGCAUUCCAACUACUGAGAAAAGUCUUCAGAGCAUGAAUCUUUAUAAUUUGUUUAUGGUGAAUUCGUUGUGAACUAUUUAAAAGAAAAAUAAGUGGUUUUCUGUAAGUAAAAUUACAUGGAAAUGUUCAACUGUAUGCAUGUUCAAAUAUUUGCGAAAAAAAGUUUGGGUUUGAUAUAAAAUCUGUAAUUUUCGUUUAACAAUAAAACCGUUGUUGUACAUAUAUGAUUAAGAUAUUUUAACUGGAUAGGUACAGUCCUGUCAGUAGGGACUAAUUCACGUAAGGAAUAAGUUUUCCUCAAAUGGCCUUUAAUGUUAAAAGAAUUCUUUAAAUUCACAUUUUUACACCUUAAUUUAAUAAUUAUAGUACAAAGUUUUGUAUUGCCUAUUGGUAAAUCAAGGAUUCUCAAGGGGCAUAAACUCAAGAUAUAACAGCUUCAAGUCCUUUAAAAUUCUUUAUUACUAGUAAAAACACACAAAAUACAUAUUGAACACUGUUUUUUAUCGAUUCUUACUUAUUUGGGAGAAUAAUGUCCUGUUUGAUAGAUUGCCCAAUCUGUUGAGUAUCAAUUUAUACUAAAGGUGUGUGCCUAAACCAAAACACUGGAAGCACAUUUUGGAAACAAGUUGUUCACACAUGUUGGAUAAUGCCAUAAAUGAGGGGUUAUAUCUCUACAAUGAAUGACCAUUGGAGGUAUCCGCAGCUACAUUUAGUUAAAAAAAAUUGCAAGGGUUCCGUAGUCUUGCCUUGUUUUGCUGUUAAUCACAGGCUCAACAAAAAUGAGGAAAAAAUUUAAUAAUGAUUAAUUCCUCUCAAUACUAUCUUUUGUUUGAAAGAAGCUUAUUCUGUCCAAGUUUGGUAAAAAUCCAGGAUGGUUUACAUGGUUUAUGAAUCUAAUAAAUGUUUCAAAAACUUUAACCGCAGACUGUAUGUAAUAAUAACUGGAAGAAAAACCCAAGUCCAUUUAUAAGUUAAAAACUGAAAAAAUGGAUAUUUAAAAAGUUAUUUCGGGAUACUAUCUUAUGAUCAUAAACAAGCUUCUGUCCAAGUUUAAUAGAAAUCCAGGAUAGUUUAAAAAAGUUAUCAAAAUUUUUAGAAACUUUAACCACAGAGUGAAUGUUAUUUAAGGUCAGAAAAACUAAGUCCAUUUACAAUUAAAUAUGGAAAAAAUGGAUUUUUUUUUAUUUUAUCUUAUGAUCAUGAACAAGUGUCUGUCCAAGUUUGGUAGAAAUCCAGGAUACUUGUAGUUUAAGAAAGUUAUUAAAAUUUCAAAAACUUUAACGAGUGAAUAUUUGUGGCUCUGCCACUGGAGACAAGGACAGACUGUAGGAUCGCUAUGUCUCGCUUUUUCGACAAAAGUCGAAGGCUGGACAACUAGGUUUAACCCUUUAUUUUCUUCGAAAAUGACGAUGUAUGGUUUGAACAUGUACAAACUCAAGUUUAUAACAUAUGUUUUUCACUUGUUCCGGGAUCGGUUGAUAACAAUUCAUUUGCAGUUUUUCGUAACUAGCAAAAUAAUGACUAGUAAAAAGAAAAUUACAAUCAUUUUUUUUUACAGUUUUGUUGAUUAAUUAUAUUGAAACCAAAAUACCCCUAAAAUUGUAAAUUGAUUUGGACUGAUAUUAAAUGACUGUGGACUUUCAGGAAAAAAACUCCAAUUAUAUUUAGAUUUCAUAACACAAGACUAGUCAAGAAUGUUAGUUUAUAACAAUAACAAAGAAAGUAAAAGGUAAUAUAGAUGUUGUUAAUUGAUUAAAGUAGAUAGAUUAUUUAAUUAUUUCCUGGUGAGUUUAUGUCACUAAGAGUUUGUUAUUGAAUAUCCUAUAGGUUUAUCAUCAUUAGUUACCGAGUGAUGGUAAUUUAAUCAUGGGCUGUGGAACAUCCCGAGUUAACCCUGACGGGGAAAAAGAAGCAGCCACACCCAGACCUAACCCAAACAAGAGCAGAAAUGGAUUAGUACCGAAUGGAGAAACUAAAACAUUUGAUAAGAAGACAGCUGUGGAUUCUAAUGCUAACAUUCCCAGUCAAAGACCAG